UUGUAAUGAUGUUGAUCAAAUGUCUGACCUGAAGUGAGCAUGUAGACGAAUUUAACACUGAAUAA
Molecule: small nucleolar RNA, 65 nt
Organism: Chinchilla lanigera (long-tailed chinchilla)
Lineage: Eukaryota; Metazoa; Chordata; Mammalia; Rodentia; Chinchillidae
Source: Ensembl